CACACUAUCAUUAACUGAAUCCAUAGGUUAAUGAGGCGAACCGGGGGAACUGAAACAUCUAAGUACCCCGAGGAAAAGAAAUCAACCGAGAUUCCCCCAGUAGCGGCGAGCGAACGGGGAGGAGCCCAGAGCCUGAAUCAGUGUGUGUGUUAGUGGAAGCGUCUGGAAAGGCGCGCGAUACAGGGUGACAGCCCCGUACACAAAAAUGCACAUAUUGUGAGCUCGAUGAGUAGGGCGGGACACGUGGUAUCCUGUCUGAAUAUGGGGGGACCAUCCUCCAAGGCUAAAUACUCCUGACUGACCGAUAGUGAACCAGUACCGUGAGGGAAAGGCGAAAAGAACCCCGGCGAGGGGAGUGAAAAAGAACCUGAAACCGUGUACGUACAAGCAGUGGGAGCCUCUUUAUGGGGUGACUGCGUACCUUUUGUAUAAUGGGUCAGCGACUUAUAUUCUGUAGCAAGGUUAACCGAAUAGGGGAGCCGAAGGGAAACCGAGUCUUAACUGGGCGUUAAGUUGCAGGGUAUAGACCCGAAACCCGGUGAUCUAGCCAUGGGCAGGUUGAAGGUUGGGUAACACUAACUGGAGGACCGAACCGACUAAUGUUGAAAAAUUAGCGGAUGACUUGUGGCUGGGGGUGAAAGGCCAAUCAAACCGGGAGAUAGCUGGUUCUCCCCGAAAGCUAUUUAGGUAGCGCCUCGUGAAUUCAUCUCCGGGGGUAGAGCACUGUUUCGGCAAGGGGGUCAUCCCGACUUACCAACCCGAUGCAAACUGCGAAUACCGGAGAAUGUUAUCACGGGAGACACACGGCGGGUGCUAACGUCCGUCGUGAAGAGGGAAACAACCCAGACCGCCAGCUAAGGUCCCAAAGUCAUGGUUAAGUGGGAAACGAUGUGGGAAGGCCCAGACAGCCAGGAUGUUGGCUUAGAAGCAGCCAUCAUUUAAAGAAAGCGUAAUAGCUCACUGGUCGAGUCGGCCUGCGCGGAAGAUGUAACGGGGCUAAACCAUGCACCGAAGCUGCGGCAGCGACACUAUGUGUUGUUGGGUAGGGGAGCGUUCUGUAAGCCUGUGAAGGUGGCCUGUGAGGGUUGCUGGAGGUAUCAGAAGUGCGAAUGCUGACAUAAGUAACGAUAAAGCGGGUGAAAAGCCCGCUCGCCGGAAGACCAAGGGUUCCUGUCCAACGUUAAUCGGGGCAGGGUGAGUCGACCCCUAAGGCGAGGCCGAAAGGCGUAGUCGAUGGGAAACAGGUUAAUAUUCCUGUACUUGGUGUUACUGCGAAGGGGGGACGGAGAAGGCUAUGUUGGCCGGGCGACGGUUGUCCCGGUUUAAGCGUGUAGGCUGGUUUUCCAGGCAAAUCCGGAAAACCAAGGCUGAGGCGUGAUGACGAGGCACUACGGUGCUGAAGCGACAAAUGCCCUGCUUCCAGGAAAAGCCUCUAAGCAUCAGGUAACAUCAAAUCGUACCCCAAACCGACACAGGUGGUCAGGUAGAGAAUACCAAGGCGCUUGAGAGAACUCGGGUGAAGGAACUAGGCAAAAUGGUGCCGUAACUUCGGGAGAAGGCACGCUGAUAUGUAGGUGAAGCGACUUGCUCGUGGAGCUGAAAUCAGUCGAAGAUACCAGCUGGCUGCAACUGUUUAUUAAAAACACAGCACUGUGCAAACACGAAAGUGGACGUAUACGGUGUGACGCCUGCCCGGUGCCGGAAGGUUAAUUGAUGGGGUUAGCGGUAACGCGAAGCUCUUGAUCGAAGCCCCGGUAAACGGCGGCCGUAACUAUAACGGUCCUAAGGUAGCGAAAUUCCUUGUCGGGUAAGUUCCGACCUGCACGAAUGGCGUAAUGAUGGCCAGGCUGUCUCCACCCGAGACUCAGUGAAAUUGAACUCGCUGUGAAGAUGCAGUGUACCCGCGGCAAGACGGAAAGACCCCGUGAACCUUUACUAUAGCUUGACACUGAACAUUGAGCCUUGAUGUGUAGGAUAGGUGGGAGGCUUUGAAGUGUGGACGCCAGUCUGCAUGGAGCCGACCUUGAAAUACCACCCUUUAAUGUUUGAUGUUCUAACGUUGGCCCGUAAUCCGGGUUGCGGACAGUGUCUGGUGGGUAGUUUGACUGGGGCGGUCUCCUCCUAAAGAGUAACGGAGGAGCACGAAGGUUGGCUAAUCCUGGUCGGACAUCAGGAGGUUAGUGCAAUGGCAUAAGCCAGCUUGACUGCGAGCGUGACGGCGCGAGCAGGUGCGAAAGCAGGUCAUAGUGAUCCGGUGGUUCUGAAUGGAAGGGCCAUCGCUCAACGGAUAAAAGGUACUCCGGGGAUAACAGGCUGAUACCGCCCAAGAGUUCAUAUCGACGGCGGUGUUUGGCACCUCGAUGUCGGCUCAUCACAUCCUGGGGCUGAAGUAGGUCCCAAGGGUAUGGCUGUUCGCCAUUUAAAGUGGUACGCGAGCUGGGUUUAGAACGUCGUGAGACAGUUCGGUCCCUAUCUGCCGUGGGCGCUGGAGAACUGAGGGGGGCUGCUCCUAGUACGAGAGGACCGGAGUGGACGCAUCACUGGUGUUCGGGUUGUCAUGCCAAUGGCACUGCCCGGUAGCUAAAUGCGGAAGAGAUAAGUGCUGAAAGCAUCUAAGCACGAAACUUGCCCCGAGAUGAGUUCUCCCUGA
This 2650-nucleotide ribosomal RNA is filed under the name Escherichia coli. RNAcentral describes it as "bacterial LSU rRNA". It matches the Rfam family "Bacterial large subunit ribosomal RNA". The record is from RNAcentral. Lineage: Bacteria; Pseudomonadati; Pseudomonadota; Gammaproteobacteria; Enterobacterales; Enterobacteriaceae.